Molecule: ribosomal RNA, 200 nt
Filed under: uncultured bacterium
Lineage: Bacteria
Description: partial 16S ribosomal RNA
Rfam family: Bacterial small subunit ribosomal RNA
Source: RNAcentral
GAUGAAUGCUGGCGGCGUGCUUAACACAUGCAAGUCGAGCGGUAACAGGGGUAGUUUACUACCUGCUGACGAGCGGCGGACGGCUGAGUAACGCGUGGGAACAUGCCCCAAAGUGAGGAAUAAGCUCCAGAAAUGGAGUCUAAUGCCGCAUAUGAUCUUCGGAUUAAAGGAUUUAUCCGCUUUGGGAGUGGCCUGCGUAC